This 133-nucleotide ribosomal RNA is filed under the name uncultured bacterium. RNAcentral describes it as "partial 16S ribosomal RNA". The record is from RNAcentral.
UUACGUCAAGACUCACGGUUAUUAACCGUAGGCUUUUCUUCUCUACUGAAAGUGCUUUACAACCCGCAGGCCUUCUUCACACACGCGGCAUUGCUGGAUCAGGCUUGCCGCCCCACUUGUCCAAUAUUCCCCA